This 1382-nucleotide ribosomal RNA is filed under the name uncultured marine bacterium. RNAcentral describes it as "bacterial SSU rRNA". It matches the Rfam family "Bacterial small subunit ribosomal RNA". The record is from RNAcentral.
GAGUUUGAUCCUGGCUCAGGACGAACGCUGGCGGUGCGCCUUAUGCAUGCAAGUUGAGCGAAGCUUUUUGGUAGUUUACUACUAGAAAUGACUGAGCGGCGAACGGGUGAGUAACGCGUGAGCAAUCUACCUUAGUUGCUGGGAUAGCCCGAGGAAACUCGGAUUAAUACCAGAUAUUCUUAUUUUUUUACAUGAAGUUUUAAGGAAAGGUCAGCCGAACUAAGAUGAGCUCGCGUUCUAUCAGCUAGUUGGUGGGGUAAAAGCCUACCAAGGCAACGACGGAUAGCUGGUCUGAGAGGACGAUCAGCCACACUGGGACUGAGACACGGCCCAGACUCCUACGGGAGGCUGCAGCAGGGAAUAUUGUGCAAUGAGCGAAAGCUUGACACAGCGACACCGCGUGUGGGAUGACGGUUCUAGGAUUGUAAACCACUUUCAGGAGGGAAGAAAAUGACGGUACCUCCACAAGAAGGCCCGGCCAACUAUGUGCCAGCAGCCGCGGUAAUACAUAGGGGUCAAGCGUUGUCCGGAUUUAUUGGGCGUAAAGAGCUCGUAGGCGGUUCAACAAGUCGGUCGUAAAAGUUUAGGGCUUAACCCUAAAAUGUCGAUCGAUACUGUUGUGACUAGGAUACGGUAGGGGUGAAUGGAAUUCCGAGUGUAGCGGUGAAAUGCGUAGAUAUUCGGAGGAACACCAAUUGCGAAGGCAGUUCACUGGACCGUGAUCGACGCUGAGGAGCGAAAGCUAGGGGAGCAAACAGGAUUAGAUACCCUGGUAGUCCUAGCUGUAAACGAUGGAUACUAGAUGUAGGAACUGGAUUGACGGUUUCUGUAUCGUAGCUAACGCGUUAAGUAUCCCGCCUGGGGAGUACGGUCGCAAGACUAAAACUCAAAGGAAUUGACGGGACCCCGCACAAGCGGCGGAGCAUGCGGCUUAAUUCGAUGAUACCCGUAGAACCUUACCUGGACUUGACAUAUAGGGAAAAACUGGAGAAAUCCAGUGUGCGUAAGCGCCCUUUACAGGUGGUGCAUGGCUGUCGUCAGCUCGUGUCGUGAGAUGUUGGGUUAAGUCCCGCAACGAGCGCAACCCCUGUCCUAUGUUGCCAGCAAGUAAUGUUGGGGACUCAUAGGAGACUGCCGGUGAUAAACCGGAGGAAGGUGGGGAUGACGUCAAGUCAUCAUGCCCCUUAUGUCCAGGGCUGCACGCAUGCUACAAUGGCAAGUACAACGAGUCGCAAUACCGCGAGGUGGAGCAAAUCUCUUAAAGCUUGUCUCAGUUCGGAUAGGAGUCUGCAACUCGACUCCUUGAAGUUGGAGUCGCUAGUAAUCGCAAAUCAGCAAAGUUGCGGUGAAUACGUUCUCGGGGUUUGCACUCACCGCCCGUC